UCAAAUCUCUCGAGAAGCUCUGACCCCGCCUCCUGGAGAAUGAAUCAAUCAGGACAGGCCCACUGCGGUCCGCAGUAGGUUGGGGGAUUCCCAUGAUGCUCUGUAACAAUAACCUGUUGCUUAGGAGGUGGGUUCCGGCAGCUACUUCCGGUUCCCGCCACUCCGAAAGCGGAAGUGCAGGCUUUCCAGCGAACCGCCAACCAGACAAAUUCCGACCCACUGGCCGUGUGCACCCCGGAGCUGACUGCACGUGCAGAAAGUAGCUUCCACUUCUCUGAAAGGUGUACGGGCCCACUGAGGAAUACCCACUCCUUGCCUGCAUGGGCUUUCACCCGCAGUUUCAAGCGAUUUGGAUUUCCAUCCCAAACCAUAGGACUCCGGCAGUUCGUCUUAACGGUUUUAAGAUCCAUCAGCGUUGUUAAUGUGCAUCCGGUUGACACUUCUGGAUUUAGUUUUCAACAGCGCACAUCUGCCAUAUUUCACUCACCCCCUUCUCUAUGAUGAGCAUCUAAACUGCUUCCAACAUUCAGCUACCCUGUAAACAUCCUUGAGUCUGCGGGAGAAUUUCCUACGAAUAUAUGUAUUCUAGCAUUUUCCCACAGAUCAUAAGGCAUGCGCAUGCUGGAGCUCAACAACUGCCAGAUGACCUUCCUGAGUGGUGGUGGUACCAGUUGAGACUCCCUCCAGCAGUGCCCCAGAGUUCCAUCUUCUGUAUUCUCACCUGCACCAUUUUCUCCCUUCUGACAUUGACCAUUCUUAGACAUGCAAAGGCAGAGCUCAGGUAGAUGCAGUAGGUCAUAGGGAGCUGGCGAAAACUCUUCACCUGUGGGCACCGUGAGAAAGGGGCUGCUUUAGAAGAAUUGUGCAGGAACGGAUCUGAUUUGCAAAACCCAAAGAUGCAAUAUAUAUAUGUAUUCUCUGAGAGGUUUGGGAGAUGUUUAGCGUGACAAAUAAAAACUAUUUUGUACAUA
This is a long non-coding RNA of Herpailurus yagouaroundi (jaguarundi), 971 nucleotides long. RefSeq lists it as uncharacterized. The transcript has 2 exons. NCBI's taxonomy places the organism in Eukaryota, Metazoa, Chordata, Mammalia, Carnivora, Felidae. The record is from RefSeq and is a predicted model, not a curated record.